UACGUAGGGAGCGAGCGUUAUCCGGAUUUAUUGGGCGUAAAGGGUGCGCAGGCGGUCUUGUAAGUUAGGUGUUAAAGGCAUGAGCUCAACUCAUGUACGCGCUUAAAACUCCAAGACUAGGGUAUGUCAGAGGAAAGUGGAACUAAUAGUGUAGCGGUGAAAUGCGUAGAUAUUAUUAGGAACACCAGUGGCGAAGGCGACUUUCUGGGACAUUACCGACGCUCAUGCACGAAAGCAUGGGGAGCGAACAGG
RNAcentral lists this ribosomal RNA (252 nucleotides) under uncultured bacterium. Its description in RNAcentral is "partial 16S ribosomal RNA". It matches the Rfam family "Bacterial small subunit ribosomal RNA", at positions 524 to 776 of the family's 1533-position model. The record is from RNAcentral.